Molecule: ribosomal RNA, 525 nt
Filed under: uncultured bacterium
Lineage: Bacteria
Description: bacterial SSU rRNA
Rfam family: Bacterial small subunit ribosomal RNA
Source: RNAcentral
AAUAGAUACCCUGGUAGUCCACGCCGUAAACGAUGAGUGCUAGGUGUUGGGGGGUACCACCCUCAGUGCCGAAGCUAACGCAUUAAGCACUCCGCCUGGGGAGUACGGUCGCAAGACUGAAACUCAAAGGAAUUGACGGGGGCCCGCACAAGCAGUGGAGCAUGUGGUUUAAUUCGAAGCAACGCGAAGAACCUUACCAAGACUUGACAUCCCGCUGACCGCUCUAGAGAUAGAGUUUCCCUUCGGGGCAGCGGUGACAGGUGGUGCAUGGUUGUCGUCAGCUCGUGUCGUGAGAUGUUGGGUUAAGUCCCGCAACGAGCGCAACCCUUACAUUGUGUUGCCAUCAUUUGGUUGGGCACUCACAAUGGACUGCCGGUGACAAACCGGAGGAAGGCGGGGAUGACGUCAAAUCAUCAUGCCCCUUAUGUCUUGGGCUACACACGUGCUACAAUGGGCGGUACAAAGGGAUGCGAAACCGCGAGGUGGAGCCAAUCUCAUAAAGCCGUUCGUAGUUCGGAUUGCAGG